AUGCUUCCAAGAAGCGAGUCAGAGAUGCUACUCCUUCUUCCUCAACUCAAGUGGCUAAGCAACAGAAGUAUUGGCUUCCUCCUCCUCCGUUCUGUCAGCCUUAUCAGUAGAAGAGCAAAGGUGGCAGUGGAUCUUCCCACCCACCCAACCCUGGCUUUCAGAACAAGACUUCGUCUCAAGCUCCAAGAUCGAGUGCUCCGUAUCACCGUCCGCUUUCAGAGGUCACGUGCAAAAAGUGCCAACAGAAGGGUCACUAUGCCAACGAAUGCUUCAAUUAGAGGCGCCUCCCUCCUCCUCCUCCUGUGA
RNAcentral lists this ribosomal RNA (306 nucleotides) under Triticum aestivum (bread wheat). RNAcentral's name for it is "partial small subunit ribosomal RNA". The record is from RNAcentral. Lineage: Eukaryota; Viridiplantae; Streptophyta; Magnoliopsida; Poales; Poaceae.